Molecule: ribosomal RNA, 351 nt
Filed under: Triticum aestivum (bread wheat)
Lineage: Eukaryota; Viridiplantae; Streptophyta; Magnoliopsida; Poales; Poaceae
Description: partial small subunit ribosomal RNA
Source: RNAcentral
AUGGCGAAACCCACAAGCCAGUCGGCGGCAGCGCUCGCCAUCCUGAUGCUCGCCGUGGCCACCCUCGCUGUCGCCCAGGCGCCGCCGCCGCCCCAACGGAGCGGCCAGGAGCGUCACCUGUUCCAGGUGACGGUUCGCGAGGUGGACGGCGCCGUGGAAGACGACUACAACUACAACCUGCUCGGCACCGUGCUCGGCGGCUACGAGGCCGCACGGGGCGUCAUGUUUGAGACCGAGCCCCUGAGGUUCAGCGCCUACCUCACCAACAACCAGGCCCGCAGGCUAUCAAGAGUCAAGGGGGUGCUCGGAGUUCGUCAGAGGGACGAUCCUGUGCCCAGGGCCAAGCACUGA